UUUUUUUUUUUUUUUUUUUUUUUGUUGGCAGUCUUCCAGUACUUUAAGUUAGGUCACAACUGUACACCGACAAAGUCAUGCAUUAAAUUAGGACAUUAUCAACUUAAUUGGCAACCAUUGCAGACCAUCCAACUUCCAACUAUUAAGUCAAGAUCCUGGAAAGACCCUCAAAAAAAAAAAAAUCUUGGAAAGGAUUUUUUUUUUCUUUUAAGAAUCUUGGAAAGGACCUAUUUACCUUUAUUCAGGACUAUUUCUUUAUUAUCUUUUUUUUAUAUGAGUUUUUUUUCCCUUAUUUUUGUUGGGUUUGGAAUAGAAAUGGAGAAUUUUGACUCCUCACGCCACUAUUAUUUUUAUUUCCAUCACAUAUUUUAAAAAUAAAAAAUCGCGAUUAGAAAAUUAUGUAUGACGCAGUAAUGGACAUGGUGCUGCAUAUGCAUGGUAGCUAGAGGUCUUUUAUGUUUUAUAGAUGUGCAAAACACAAAUAUUAGAUUCCUCCCAAAAAAAAUGCAGAAAAAGGAAAAACUAAGGUUGUGUUUGGAUUGUAUUUUUCGUGAUUUUUCAUGAAAAAAUUACUGUAGCGAUGUGAUGUAUGUGAGAGAAAAAUGUAAUAGGGAAAUGUGAUCACGGAAAAUAACGUAAUUUUCUGACGAAAAGUAGCAAUCCAAACAAGGCAUCUUAACUUGAAAUAUGAAUUUAAAACACCUUUCACAUCUCGUAAUUGCUGGUGAGCCUCACCGAAAAGCUUCAGAAAGUCAACCCCGGAGGAUUCCAAAUAGGACGAAUGAAUAAGAAAUCGCUGGUGAAGCAAGCCAGUGUUGAUUGAUUUGUGACUAAAAAGAGUAGCUGAUGGAGAUUACUUUGACUUUGCAAGUAAAUUAUGGCGGCUGACUCUGAGAAGGCUGACUUUGAUUGGUUGAAAAAAAAAACGAGGAGCACUUUAACCCCAAUGUCGCAGUCACUUAAUUAAAAGAGGAGGAGAAAAUCAACAACGGAUAUGGUAUAAUUAAGUCGAAUACCGUAGUAUUCAUUCUUGCUUGAUUAUUUUAUUAAAUUUAAAAUUUUAUUUAAAUUUUAUUUAUUUAUUUAUUAAAUCAAGUUGAAACGAAUUUUUAUCGAAUAUAUAACACUAUUUAAAUUUGAUUUAAUUACUUGACAAAUCAAACUCGAACGAACAUUUAAUUUAUCAAGACGAAUGUGAUUCUAGCAUCGAGUAGUUGGUUCACUUUUCAACCCUAACAAUGAAGGGACGAUGCAAAUGCCAUCCCAUAUAAUAAAAUGACCCGGCCAUGGUGCUAAUUGAUUUUGUUUUAUCACAAGUUUCAGAUCCAUGGUGGAUGGGUUUUCUAAACCAGAAACUUAAUCAGCAGCAGGUCAAUCACAGUCUACCAUGUUUUAUUGUGCUGAAGAUAAAGCUUAAUCUUAAUCUCUAGUAUCUGAAAUAACUACAUGCUAAACCUAGAUAUCUUUCGGGCGAUUGUUUUUCGUGCGUGUUGCAUAGGUAGGAUAUGUAUAACUUAAUCGAAAAUGGAGAUCUUUGGCUGGCUGAAUUGGUUACAGAAGGAAACGAAUCAAAAAGGAGCGUUGCACUGAAUUUUCUUCUCAAGGUAUUUCAAUGUCGAAUACAUAAUGCUGUUUAAAUUUGAUUUAAUUAGUUGGCAAAUCAAACUCGAACGAACUCUUACCGAGAUUAGUUCGAUUCUAGCAUCAAAUAGUUUGAUUUAUUUUUCAACCCUAAUAACAGACAGAUAUGCAUUAUGAAUACUUAGCAAUGUAAGUAAUUCAUCUUUUUUUUUUUCCUCUUUUGUUAAGUAAAAUUUUUAGUCAAUAUUUGCCAACAGAUAUGCUUGAAUUUCUCAUGGCAAUUGAAUUUGCUGCGAGAAAAGAACUUGUAUUCAAACUUCAGCCAGAGACAAUAAUCGAUCUGAGCCCUUGUACUAAUUGUUAUUACUGGUGACAAGCUCUUCAUGCAUUACAAACUGGGGAAUCAGCUGCACUAACUGAUCGAUUCUCUGGCCGACCAGAAAUCGAAACCGUUGAUUGAAGGUCGAAGAUACAGUGAAGAAGGUCACACAUAAUGCGAAAAAAAAUGAAAAAAAGUAAAAUUUGGCCAUUACAAAAAAUUUUUUUUUUAUCAAAUCUUGACCAUCAACCUUUUUUUUUGCCCCAAAUCCUAGAUCCGAGCCCACCCUAAUUGGCACUAGGUCAGGUGCGUAGUAGGUAGGGAUUGUGGCUAAUACGUGCCUAAAGAUAGAGCUGCAAAAAAACGCUCACCAUUUUGCCUUAAAAAUAAAUAAAUAAAAAUACAGGUUGCCUUGUACAACUGCAUUAUGAACCAGUACCGGUUUUUCUUUCUGGGCAAAAUCAGUACCGGUUGUCUUGUCCGUUUAGAAGUCUUUCUCCAUCGGAUCGCGAGCAAAAAGUUGUUACUACUCCCUCCGUCCCACUUUGAUACUCCUAUUUCUUUUUUCACAUAAUUAAAAAAAAAGUGAUUAACUUUAUUGGAAAAGUAAAUUUAAAUUGCUAUUUUUCUAAAAUACCCUCACAUUAAAUAUGGUACAACUUUAUAGGAACUUGAAUUGAUGGUAAAAAAAGAAUCAACUCUCAUUAAAUAGGGUAGAUUUAUAGUAACAACUACUUACAUUGAAUAAAGGUAUUUUAGAAAAAUUAAAAUACAACUACAUUUUUCAAUUGGAAAGUGGACUAUAAUUUGGGACAGAUGAAAAAUGAAUACAGAACUAUCAAAGUGGGACGAAGGAAGUAUUUUUUUUGUAAUUCUUAAAAAGCUACUGUCUCUUGCUUCCCCCCUUUGUGAUCUCUGGCCCAAGAAAGGGUGAAAAAUCCCAAAGGUCCAACCAUUAUUGUUUUGGUUAAAAACAUCGACUUUUCUUGUCGGUUCUUGCACGUGAUUUGAGUGGUGCAAUAAUCUUUUUUUCUUUCUUAGUUCUUACACGUGGCUUGGCUAUAAUUCAUUUUAUUUUAUCAUCAAAUCCAAGAGCUGCAAUAAUCAUCAAAUUGAGAUAGAAAAUAUGGUACAAAUAGACAGAACUUUUCUUUCCAAAAAAAACAAAAAAAAUAGACAGAACUUUUCUCGAUUCUUUUUCUUUUGUUGGAAUACAAAAACAUGUUUAAUGCCAAAAAAUAAAUUUAAGAUUUUCAUUACUAUGAUUUAUAAAUUUCAACCCUCCAGUGCUUUGGCAUAAUUUUUUUUUUAACGAUAACAAUAGAAUGAAAAAAUUAAAAAUAGAAAAGGUCUCGAAAUAGACCCUAUGGUGUUACGUAAACUCUUUUUUAUAUCUUUGUGGUUAAAAAAAACUUUUCUUUUGGGAAAAGAAUUCUUUUUUUUUUUGUGGAUAAAGGAUUUUUAUUUUUUUGAUAAUCCAUAUGUUGCUUAUAUUAUAUAGGGAAAAACGUGCUGGAUUAUAGCUGGAGCUGAUGCACCUGGAAAGCCAUAUGCAUGUGAUGGCAUGGUACGUAGUAGCAUGUCACAAUCAGGAUACGGGGUCGACGUGGGACGAUUUUAGCCUUUAUUUUUUUUUUCUCCAAAUCUUUUGCCAACAGCCCAAUCAUUGUUUUUUAGUGACAUGAAAUUCUUCACAACACAACAAAAAUAGUAGUCUCAUCAGCUUAUCUAACUUUUGCAUCCAUCGAGUGUUUAAAUAUAGCAAGAAAGUAAAUCCGACAAUACGCUGUGUUUGAAUUGGCGGUUGUUGUUAGAGGUGUUUUUUUAAAUAUUUUAUUAUAACGAUGUAGAUAAAAAAAUUUUAUGAUAAAUAUUUUUUAAAAUAUUUGAUGUAUUAUAUGAAUGAAAUAUUUUUUAAUUUAUAUAUUACUGUAAUAUUAUAUUUAAAAAUUUUAAUUUUAAAAAAUAGGCCAAUCCAAACGUUCAUCUUUCAGAAAGCAAUCGACCUUUCCCCAUCUUUCCCCCAACUUCUUGCUCUCGAACAUGUUUAAACUUAUGGAUGUGUACGAAUUACGAUCCCUAUACCAAUUAGACAGGGUCCUUUAUUUUUUCUGUUUCCUUUUUUUUUUCCCCACUAAGUGAAAAAUUAGUUUUGUUUUCAAAGUCGUUUAAAAUAUCAAUAUGGAAGCAUGCUUUCGAUUAAUUAAACGUUUGGAAGGGCCUUUUUACUAACAAAUCCUAAGACCUACCUCUCACAAUCAACUUCUUUUCAACAAUGCUACGGAAAAUAAAUGAAAAACCUAAUGAUAAGACACCACUACCUUUUUGCAGCUGAGAUUUGAUAGGAGAAGAAGAGAGAGAAAGGUCUGCUGUUUGGGGCUUUGAAAGGGAUAGAAGAGAACGCAAAUCGAAAGAUUAGGUGAGAAUCUAUUUUGCAGUUAAAAUGAAAAAAACUUUCUGCCCAGAUAUGGGUGGAAAAGAAAGGAAGGCUGAAUAAAGCUCUAUGAGAUUUUUUUAAUAUGCCACUUCUAUCUUUAGAUGUAUAUUCAAUAAAAUUUUAUUGGCGUACAUAUUUAUAAUUUUUUCAUUUCUUUACUAAACUCUCAAACAACAUCAAACUUUAUUAUCUUCUUGGCUCUUCUUUCGUAACUUUCACAUUUCCAAUCUUUGCUUUUCUAUCCUAAAAUUGAGGAUUCUCUUGGAAGGAAGUGGCAAUGCUCAACCAAACAGGUAAAGAUUGGUAAUGUGAUUUUCAAAUCAAUUGGAAAUAUUUGAACGUGCAUGUCCAUGUUUAUCUGCAUCUUUUGCUUCCUUCUUCAGGAUCCUCGUCCUUCCAUGCACUGAAGAACUGAAAAAGAAUGCACUCGAUCGGUCCAGUGUGCUGGCGAAGAUCUUUGAUACUCUUUUGAAAACCAUUUUCACAUUUUACUUGGGUCAUGGUUGAAUCAGUAUUAAUGAAUGGAGCAGAAAAGAUAUCUUUAAGCAUGUAUGAAACCAUAACCUACUGAUGACAUUAUGCAUGAACCAUUAUAUAAAGUGGAGUCGAUUCAAGUUCUUGCAUUAGGAAAGUAGAGGGAAGGUUUAGUUCAGUGAAGCAACCACGAUUUUGAGAUAAACUGCACUGGCGAUCAGGUCAUUCCAACUGAAAGAGAAGUAAGAAAUGAAUCGUCACACUUCCUUUACUUGUCUUUAAUAUUGGCCUACAGGUGGAUUUUAAUUUACCCCAGCGUUUUGACAUUACCUGUGUCGAUUCGGACCAAGAGAAGAAGCAGCCCAUCAUGAUUCAUCGUGCAGUUCUAGGAUCCUUGGAGCGGUUUUUGGGAGUUUUCAUAGAGCAUUAUGCUUGUGAAUUCCCGCUGUGGCUUUCUCCUACCCAAGCUCGGAUAUUUCCAGUCACAGAUACAUGCACAGGUAUUUGCCACUUUAUUGUGUCCCAGAUAUAUUGGGGGACUAGGUGUAAGGCUAGCUAGGUGAGAAUUAAACGGUUUGUUUGCAUUAGGGACCUUGCUCUAUUCUGUACUUCUUUUCUCAUUUGUUGCCGAGAAGAAGGUUGAGUAAACUAAUUCAAAACGAAUUAGCACUUCUCUUAAUCUGCUUAAUCUUAAUUGGUUGCCUCUUCAUGUUUAGAAACUUAUUAGAAAUGGAGAGAAGCAGAAAAUCCCAUUGAUGGAGAUGCAGAAACACAAACUGUAACUGUUAGGUCUAGGCAUAGCAGGGACUAUGCCAAUUGAUGAAUUUAUCACCCGAAUCAAGCGUGCAGUUGAGAGCAGAAUAUACAAGCUCAGAUUAAUUAACAGGUAAUUUUUUGAGUAUCAACUCAAAAACUACACGUUCUCUACAAGAUUUGUAGUUCUUACUUCACCGCGUCAAGUGGCACUAUCAAGAACAUUUGCAAUUAGUUGAUACAAAGACAUAAGAGUUGAUUAGCUCUUUAACUGGACCAUCUGCUUCAACAUUCAAUAUCAUCAGUUUGAAUUUGGGUUGACAAUUUGAGUAUAAUGGCAUCUUUUUAUCUAAACAAGGGUGAGUGGAAGAGGGUAAAUCUUCUCUUAUUUGCACGUCUCACUGGAAAUCCAUCAGCAGGACACAAGAAAUAUUUUUCGGAAUUGGCCUUUGCAUUGACAGAACAAUAUGUCUGUUAAUACUAUUAUUUUGUCCACAGCUUUUCAUUACAAUCUGCAACACGAUGAAGAGAAUGCUCGCAGGGUACACACCUUUUCCCUAUUCUUUUUCUCAUUUCUAGACAGUUUCUGCAAAACAAGUGAAGCUUACCAUUUCAAGUUAUGCUAGCUUUAUCACGCCAAGAAUUAAGCUACAUGAUCACAUUAUAUUUUAGCUAUCCUAAUAAAUCAUCUCCCUGAUUUCCUCUCUUUCUCUAUAUUCCAUAUCAAUUCAUGGUGUAAAGGACGUGGACAUUGAAUAUCUUUACCCAAAACAAAAGCAGGCCUUCCCAUUAUUUCCUCUAAACACAUGCAAUAAUCCAUCACAUAUGUUCUAAUCAUUAUUCACAAAAUCAAUAUUAAAAAAAAAAAAUCAAGUCAAUAACACGAAAGACUAACAUAAACUCUUCCCAAUAUGUAUAAUACAUAUCCAAACCCUAUAACUAACUAUCAAAAUUAAGCAUGUGAAGAAAUAACAAGUCCGAGAGUCAAGUACACAUCAAUGUGAACAUCAGCUACACUCCUUGCUGUAUCCUGGCCCCAUAGCCAUUAACUCCACUUACACCAUUGGAGUUACAAGGGUACUUAUUAAUUGAGCUAUCACCUUCCCUUUUUCUCUUCAAGACAAUAAACCAUGUGAAAGCUGCAAGGGCAGCUGCCAUGGCUCCAAUUCCUAUAAUUAUACCAAUGUAUAAUUCUUUUCAGGCUGAGAAUAAUCACUGUGUAGCCAACAACAUAGUGGUAGAUGUUCCAAUAAAAUCUAGGAUCUGGCUUUGGCCUCAAUAGCAAGGCGAAUACCUACAAGUACAUAGCCAACAAAACUAAUUAAAGAAAGAGGAAAUUUUUUAAAAAAAAAAAGAAAAGAAAACGAGAGAUAUGUAGCACCUUGCAGCGUAGUUAUCUGUAUUAAUGAAUAAUUGAUAAUGAAAUCUUUGAGUAUAUGCUGAUUUCCUACAUUUUACCUAGAGGGAAUCCUCUCUUUUUCCUACUAAUUUGUAAAGGUAGUUAUUUAAUUUUAGAAACUGGCCACGAUACUCUGUAAUGAAGCCAAAUUUCAAAGCUAUGAACAAAAAAAAAAAAAAAAGUCUCCCUUUGGAUGGCAGAUUUUUAGAGUGUUGCUGGAAUAGUUUUAAUGUAACACUAUCUUAAAAUGAGUCUACGUAAGAUCGAAAGUGUUACAAGAUUUCUAAGAACACCCAUCCAAGCAUGGAAACAAAAAAAUAGGUACCUGAACUGUUGCGAGGCAGACCAUAGUGAUACCAAUGCCCUUACGGGUGUCUUGUGAAACUACAGAUUCAUAGCCAAGUUUGAGACCUGCUCCCAAUCCAGAAACACCUCACAAACUAGCCAUUGAAAAUUAUGAGCUGGAAAACUUCCUGAUGGACACAAAUGGAUGCUUUCAAGAAAUGGAAUCGAGUCCUUGACUGCCAUGGCCGAGUCGGGCAACAAUAUUCAUUCAUGCUAGAUGGUCUUCGUUACACCGAUAUGGUAUAAUAAUAUAUGCAUCUUUGUUUACACCAACUUUUGAGAGCUCUACCUAAUAAUUCUACGUCCCAGGCUGUGAAAUACAAUUUAGCCUUUUUCCUAAAUGAAUGUAUACUUGGCCAGCAUUAUAAUUAUUACGAGCAUAAGAUUACUAUUAUUUGAGUUGGUACAACAGCUUGUAAAAAAAUGGGGGAAAAAAAAAAACACAUGAGCCAAAGUACUCGAAACUUAAUCAGCAAAAACUAUAAGUAAUGUAGUAGACUGAUGCAUGCACAGGAUCAUCAUAGUAACAGCUAGCUGCACUGGAGAAAAUGAAAAUACUAACAAUUAUAGCAAUGACCCGUCCAGAACCAGACGAACAGUCGAAUACUUUAUAAGAUGGGUUGAGUACGAAAAUAUAUAUAUAUAUAACUAGAAGGGCUCUUUCAAUAGCAGCAUCCAAAACGCCCAUACCGGCUCAAUUCAUUAUUUUGAGAUAAAGGAUACAAAAAGUAAAACUAAGAAAAAUUGCAAUUUUUUCGUUUUAUAUAAACAAUUUUUUUUUCUUUUCUUCGACUUUGCAUUGAAAGAACAUACUUCAAAAUGAUAUGAUUUAACCUCGAAUACAUUCAAAUGUAACAGAUGAAAAUGGAACUCAGAGAAUUGAUGUGUAUUCGAAUCAUCAUGGGAACUAUCAAUCGUUGGUAUGCUCACGAGGGGAGAAACCCAAUCAAGGCGAAAAUCCCACAAAAUUGUUUUGGGUUCUUCGGGGCCUGUGUUGUCAAUGUCUAAAAAGGGCCUGUGUUGUCGGCCAUUCGAUUCCCAGAAUUACUAUCUCGACCCAAAUUCGAUAUUUAAGAGUCAAAAUACGGAAUAGACUAAUUAACUAAAUCUGAUUGUCACUAACUACCUAUGUUACGGCCCAGGUUUUUUAAUUUAGAAAACACGUUUUUUCUCGGUCUACCUACUCUUUGGAAUUGGGCUACAAUGCUUUUUUAGCUGAAGGAGCUAUUUGGGAUUUUUCAGUUGGAUCCACCAAAUGGACAGUACCUCUAAAAAGAACGAACGAUUUAGUUGACAAAUAAAUUUGCGCAUUCUUUCAUGACCCCAAAAAGGGGGAAAAAAAAAAUAAAACAAUUAAGUCUUACAUCUUCCUGGCAAGUUUUCUAUUGAAAAAUGUGUGUUUGGAAAAUGCAAUCACCUUUUUUAUCCAUGAACACAUUUUUCAAUUACCUUUUUACCUCACAUAUAUCAAAUCGCUGCAGUAAUUUUUCUAUAAACAGUUCAAAAAAAUGCAAUCCAAACAAGUUGUUGCUUUCUCUUUGUUGAAAUCUGUGGUACGUUCUAGGUAAAAUUUUCAUUACGUUGUGGAUGGUAUAAUAAAAAGAAUUAACUGCAAUAUUCAUGAAAUUCUUGAUGGUUGCCCACACUUUAACAUUAUAAAAUGAACGUUUUUAACUGCUACUGUUUUCAUGCUUAUGAAAUGCAAUCAUAUGCCUAAAUGCAACCAUCAGUUUUUUAUAGUUAUUUUUGGUCACGAUUAUAACAUACUCACACAUUUGUUGCAUUUUCCGUAUGAGAGUUUCCAGUUCUUGAAGUGGAAUGUGUAACCAGAAAAUCGUCCCUUAAUUUGACACCAAUUUGAAUAACCCCCAAAGAACCCACUUUUGCAUAUUCUAAUAUGCAAAAGAAAUCUGAUUUGAGCAUAGGAAAAUCCAAAAACUGGAGAAUCUUCCUUUUUGUAUACAUAAUCUGUGUGCAUUGGAACAAAAUAGACAAAGUCCUACGACUUGAACAAGCCCUCAAUUCCAGUGAUCAUCCAUCUCCUGACGGCUGUACUGAUGCAGUUUUGUUUUCUUCUCCUUUGAAUCACUACUGACCAGACAUUGGUUGCUUCAAUGUGGGAUGCGAUGGCGGAGGUAACAGGGCGAAGGGUGCAGGCUGCAGGCUGCCGUCUUAAAACUCUGAAAUUCAUCAACUCCUUUUUUGCAUGGUAUAAAAAUGGAAUGGAUUUGUUAGAUUUUUUUUUUUUUUUUGGCCUAUGCAAAAACUUAAAAAAACAUUUUACGUUACAGAAUUAAGUACAUGUAGAGUAAAGUUUGUCCCACAAGAUAAAUUUUCUAGUUCCGUCUAUGAUAAUAUGGCGCACACCGGUGCCAAUAAACUGUCACCAAAUAAAUCAUUCAUCUUCUAAUAUUCAUCAUAAUACUUUGUAUCGAAUAAAUAUGUGCAUGGUAUGACAUAACAUUAGUACCAAUCACUUACUAAGAAUUGAUGAUGGUGAUUGCGUCAUGUACCUAAUAUUUUUCCACUUGAACUAUCAUGAUUCUAUCGAUAGAUUGUUUGGAUAGUUAUUUAUUUACAAAAAUUUAUUUGAUUGCAUCAUCAACAUAUUCGGUUCGACGGACAUAAAUAAUAAGAGCCAUUAAUGCAACGUGUGGAUUUGGGAACGUCCACAUUAAACGAUGGAUCAACCAUUGUGUGCGGAAGACUUGCUUCAAAAGUUGGACAAUCAAAUUGAGAAGUUUUGCUGACCAACGCAAUAAGUUUUAAAUAAGAUCACAAGACCUACAACUGAUUUCCAUGUCAUAUAGAUUUUGAUUUGUAGCAAACGUUAGAUCUAUUUUAGUUUGACACCAUAAGCAUUUCAUACCAAGAUUUUCAAACAAUCAGUUAAUCCCACCUGCUCCUAUCAAAUUAUCAAAACUUAUUAUAUAUAGCAUGGAUUGAGUGUGGAUAACCCACAAAUUACUUUUGUACGUGUUGCAAAUUAAGGUGCAUGUACUUUUUUUUUUUUUUUGGGGGUAAAAUCACUGUACUAUUAGAUAUUGGACCAAUAUUUGAUUAUGGCAUCUCAAUACUAACAGAAGAUGUGCCGAUAAUAGAGUAAAUUCCUCAGUAUUUGAUUACGGAGAGAGCUGCAAUUUCAAGAGGACUACCAAGUAGUGUUAGAGCUCAUGAGCAUCCUUCUUCAGCUGGCAUUUCUGAGCAAUGACAAGAAUUAAGCUUCUGCUACCAAAUGUAAUUAAUCAUUGCUGAAUUUCUGAAGUAUAUUCUUGUAGUCAGGCAAUCAUAGGAGUAAACAAUUCAUGUGUGAAAUCAAGGGAAAGAAUUGUUGGAAAGUAUGAACAACUUCUUCUCUGGGUAGCAUAAAAGAAUCAAAAAGUUGAUAACUUAGUCUACACCUCAACCGUUUUUUGAUUAAGAGCCAUGUAUCUCCACCUUUCUUUUUCCACAAAAUCUGCAUCAAGAAACCUGGAAACAAAAGCCCAGAGCCGAUACAAGUCCUCAAAGUUGGUCAAAAACCUGACAGAAGCUGAGACAACAGAAAUUUCCGAAUCAAAUUGACCUCCCUUUUUUUUGUGCUCCACUUCUCUUCUUUCAGUGUUUUCCUUCUCUAAUAUUUUCUGCUUCUCUUCCUUAUAAUUGUUUUCAAACCACACAUGCUGCAAGAAUCCGCAUGCAAGAGAAACAUUGUUUCGGUCAGCUAACUUCUGUACAAGAAUUGGAUCGAUUUUGUCUCCUUUCCAGUCAAAUACAUUGAAAGCCACAGCCGGUGCUCGGUUAAUGCUUAUUUUUGGUCCGUAGAUUUUAACUAAGGCUGCCCCAUUUUCUGAAUGUGGAUGUCGAAGGCACAGCAAUGCAUUUACUAGCCAGUUUAUGUGGUACCGAUUUCUGCUACUGAUCACAAUUAGGCCUACUUCAUCUGCAUGAUCUAAUCCCCUGCAUUCAAUCGUUUCUGAGCUUCUUAUACCACUGGGACUUGCAUCAUUUGAGACAACCCUUUUAUCUGAUUUUAAUAACUCGGAAAAUGAUGGUUCCUCCUGAGUUUUGCUGCCAUCUUCUUUAACUUCCUGCAAUUCAAAGGCUUCUUCACUUGAGCUAAAGGAUGAGCUAAGCAAUCCUGCUUCCUCUCUCCUGAACAACAUUCCUAAGGUCACAAUUUGAUCUUUACUUUCUGUUUCAGAGAUAGUGGAUUGUCUAAAAAGGUUUCCUGUUGGGAUAAGACUGACAACACCAAUGCUUGUGGAGGAUUUGUUUAGCACUGAGAUACUAGACUUCUUCACGAAUAAACAGCUAAAACCAGAAGGGUUUUCCCCCAACACCUUGAAGAAUGAACAGACGAUAAAGUCAGGAAGAAACAGAGUUAGCCCCAACGUCUCCAUCUCCUUGGCUGCUAACGCGUCUGCAUCAAGCAAGACAUGCCAACCAUUUUCUUGCGCUUUAUACAUCCAUUGAUAAGAAUAUGUUGCUCCAGUCAUUCUUGACUGCAGGGGGAAGACAAAUAAUCCCCCCCUCUUCUUCUUCUUCUUCUUCUUAUUCUUACGGAUCAUCUUCCUAAGCUUUUUUGCAUUUAUCCUCAAACUAGGCCAUGAGAACUUAGCUGACAAUAUUCGGGCUCCAUGCUUCUUGGAGCUUUCAAUCAUUGCUUCUGUUGCUUCAUUCUUGUAGUCAUAGACUGUAAGAAGUUUGUGAUUAGUCCGGAAGGGAUAUGAAUCUGCCAAAAGCUUGAAAGCGGAGGCCUGGUUAGCAGUGAAAACCAUGGAAUAAUCAUCUUCAGAGAUAUUCAUGUAUUUCAUGAUCCUUUUUCUCAUUGCCAAUUCAAACUCUGAUUUUUCGCCACCGUAACGUAGCAGAGAGAUCAAAUUGACGGACUUGUAUGAAAUAUCAAAAAAAGGUACUUCUGAAGCGGUAGAAUCUUGUGGUGGUGGAGGAGAUGAAGAAGUAGAGGCAAUUGCAGCUCCAGAAUACAAAUUCUGUUGCUGGGAAUGUGAGAAAAGGCCAUUGCCAGUGUAGUCCAGGCAGACAUGAUUUGAGAGAGAGAGAUGAUAGUACUCUUGUGAUCUAAUUUGGUCAACCGAAUCUGUAUUUGAGUAUUGCCGGAAGGAAUUUUUAAGGUCGGAAUACAAUUCUCUCCAUGGAGGGAGAGAUUCGUGAUUAGUAAACGAGGUGUCUGGUCGGAUUGAGGAACAAAUUGCAGAAAAGAAAUCUUGCUUGGGAGUGGUGGCAGUUCUAGUAAACUCGGAAGUGGGAGUAGGGGCCUCCGGCAGGCGAAGACAAGGAUUUGAGCACCAACUUGAACAGGCUUUUGAGGCCUCUCUGACGCAAGGUACUUCCAUAUCGCUCUUUAAGUUCUACAAUUUCUUUCAGACUUCAAAUCCUGCACUCCCUUUUCCUUGUUUUCCCUUAUUUUCCAUCUAACUUUGUGAUAAAUAACUCACCUAAUGCAGCAGAAAAAAGUUUCAUAUGUGCAAGUUUCUGGAAUGGUUAUUGAAUGCGUUACCGCAGGGGCGAAUUUUCCAGCAUAUGCUGAUUGACCAUGUCUACCAUGGAUUGCAGUGCCUUCCCUCUCACAUCUCAAUGUCGUAUACGGGGCGUUUAGUGCUUUCUUUCCUUUACUCUUUGUACUCUGAGAUAAAUCGGUCAAUAUCACCUUUCUUUGUUAUUGUCAACCAUCAUGUGAGGGGUAUAAUGUACAUUUUCUUUCAUUUCCAUUAAAGGCGGAUUAGAAAGUUCUCCGGCUAACAGGCACCUCCCCGGAGGAAAAUCUUAUGAAGCCGAAUAUUUGUCAGGAUAUAAGUUUCUUGUGCAAGUACUACUUAGACAUGUAUACAGUUAUGCAAAAAUUGUAUCAUGGGACUUGAAAUCUCCACCUGAUUGGAUGCUUAAAACUUCCUAAGCCACCCAUGUUUCUUUGGGAUUUGAGACAGGUACCGUUGAGAUUUUUGUGCGAUUAUUGUAUUUUGUUUUUACAUGAUUUGAUAGUAAAUUUUAGGGAAAAUACACAAACUCAACAUAUCAGCACAGCCACAUCUCUAAGCAAAUAUUGAAAAGAAAACAACGAACGCGUCAAUUGCAUCAAGAGCCAUCUGUGUAGGUAACAAUUAACAUGGCCAUAGAGUGAUGCAGAGAGCUGAAAGUCUUCGUCAACAUGCACUGAGAUGUUUUACACCUCCAGGCAUUGGUUCAUAUAAUUUCGAUCAGACAGAGAAAGUUAAGUUAGGACCAUCACAUUGUAUAGCCCAGCACAUGCUCUUAUCAGAUUAGUCUCUGAUUUUGUUUCAUUUGGAGUAAACCAAAGACUAGUUCUUAGCCACUUACGCAUGGAAUGGUUGCAAGUGUUUCACGUAAGAUAAGGAAAGCAACUUGAUAUAGAGCAUCUUUGUUGAGCUGCUGGAGCGGAGCAAAGGACAAGUGGAAAGCCUACAAACAUUUUUUGUAGUGGCCGGCACUAUACAGCCAUGCAGAUCAGCUUGAAGCUUUCACAAGAAUGGUUCAUUAUUGUACUCAUCGUUUAUCACAGCCACAUAACACCAAUAAUUAACCCCUCUCCCUGAAUUUGUUUUGUAGCUUACACUACAAAUAUUUAUCUAAGAAAGAAUCAGUUCACUGUGUCAAUUUUCAGAAGAAAACAGUAGGAAAAGAAUUCAUCCAGCUACGAAUGCACUAAAAAGCUGUAGAAGAAUACAUGUAUGGCUAUUGAUUUGAAAAAUUCCACACACACACACACACAUCAUUCUCAAUUUGCAUAUUUUGCACGUCUUUUUGGCAAAGGAAAAAAAAAAUAUUAUAUCUGAACUGUAACAUCAGUACAUCACCAGGCUGGCAUUAAUUUUGACAAAUUUUCACGUUAUGGGUCUCUAUCAUUAAUAAAUGCUUCAACCCAGCUCCCAUCCUGCCCACCUGAAUCAAACUCAAAUAGCCCUAAACAUGAGGGAUUCACGUGAGCCCAAAAGAUGAGGAAUUCAGUCAAGUCAAGAGUGGAACACCUUAAUGAUGAUGAUGAUGAUGACGAUCAUUUUGGAUCCUACGGUUUGCUGUUAAUUAUGGUUAAAUAGAAUCGAAACAUCCCUUCUUAUAAGCCCUAUAUAAUAAACUCUUAUGUUGUAUAGAAGAUUUUUUUUUUUUUUUUUUUUAUAACGAGUCAGACAUAUAUCUCCCUGUCAGCCGUGUCAGAGGGAGGAUAUCUACUUAUCUGCAUUAAUCCAAUUGUUUUCAUAAUUUAGCUUAAAUUCAAUUUCACCAAUUUGGGCUUGUCCAAGCACUAAUUUCAGUUCCAAAAUUGAAGGGAAAAAAAAAACAGUAUUGGUAACCUUAUGCCUUCAUGCAGAGAGAACGUACAUUGCGAUGUAAUCUCUGGGUCAAAUGCUAAAUUCCUUCCUUACGGCCAGUACCUUUCCAUGCCUUUCUUGGGUUGCGAGAGCAAACCGGAAAUGUAGACUUUCAGGACAUGUUUUGGACAACCGGGACAUGUUAUUCCACCAUUUGACAUUAGAAGUUUAUAUUUUGACAUUGGCGAUAAAUCAAAACCAAAAUGAACAAUGAUUAGUUACCAAAAUACUCCAGAUGUUAUGAAUAUAUUUGACUUUGGUGCCUGUGGAGCAGGCAAAUAGCAAUAUAUAAGGGCGAGUGCAGCGUGAUUGAUUGUAGAACAAGUCUUUAAGGUGAAAAUGCUGUGAAGAUUCUUUGGAUGAUGGAUUGAACUCAGGUCAUGAUGUUGCUUUAGAGAUUGGUGGAGCUGGUAGUGGACAAAAUGUUACUGAUCAAAGAAUAUCACCUAUGGACCAUGAUGUCCAACUGGAGACAUGACGCAAAAUAAGCAGCCAAAAAAAAAUUAUCACUGUUGAGAGUGGGAUUUGAACCCACGCCCUUUCGGACCAGAACCUUAAUCUGGCGCCUUAGACCAACUCGGCCAUCUCAACUUGUUGAUGGCAGCUACCAACAAUGACAUCAGAUGGUUGCUUUCGGUCGAAAUCUUUAUUACUCAAUAACUUGGAUAGCCUAAAAGGUUUUUUUUUUUUGUUUUUGUUUUGGGAUAGAAAGAAUGAUUUCAUUCAAUAAAUUUACACUAAUGACUGAAAAUGCAUCAAAUCAAACAUUUGAAACGUUAAAAUGUCAUGGGAAAACUUUCUUGAUUGACCAAGUUGAGAAGAAAUAAUACUUGUAUGCGGUGACCCAAUAUACGAUACCGUUUCAUCUCAUAACAUUCUAAACGAACUUUCAUAUCUAGCAUCAAUUUUGUCUGGUAUGAAAACUUGAAGCAGGAAAUAUGAACAUGCAAGAGGGAUUAGAAUAGCAAAUUUAGAUGGUAUGAGACCAAAAUGAUAAGCUUAGAACAUUUUGUCAUACUCUAGGCAACAUCAAGAACAUGUAAUUUGUGUAUUUUCAUAUGUAAAUGCUUGAGAAAUGAAAAUCGAAUUCGUAAAUAUGUUCUCAAUUUCAUAUAUAGUUACAUUUCAUUGUUAAAGAUAUUUCACUUGCCCUAUAAAUACUCCUAACUUCUCAUUUCCUUUCAUCCAAUUAUUAUAUCCUAGCUUAAAUAAUUAUAUCUCCUUUUUUUUUUUUUCUUAUCUCCUCCUUUUGUUAUCCUCCAUAUACACAUUUCUACUGAAUGGUGGAGUUGGCAAUUGUUGAAAAUUUUGAUCUAUAAAUCCACACAAGUUGGCUACCUAAGAUGGAGGAGACUGGACUAGAUUAUGAGCAUGAAAUGGGAAAAGGGAAAUUAAAUUGUUAUGAAAAGAUAUUCAUGACAAAUUAAAGCCUUACGCGAAAAUGUUUAUAUUAUCGUAAUUGAAUCUUCGAAGAACUAAUCGAUUAUUUUUGUGCUUAACUAUAGCGUAUUUGCUUCUUUGUAUUCUAUAAUUCAUGUUUUCUCUUCUUAUAUCUCAAAAACGAAGUCUCCUCAAAUCAGGAGUCUGAUUUUACUCUAAUUCUUUUUCCUUUCCAUGUAUUUAAAGAUCCACAAAAAUAAAAAAGUUGCAAAAGAAGCAUUACACAAGAAAACCAUAUGUAUGGUAAGUUGGUAGUCCAGAAGUACAUUGAAACGGUACAUUUGGAAGUCUAGGACAUGUUUAGGUUACUAACAUGCAGGGAAUACAGCACGUAGAGUUAGUUUUAGGUAGAAUUAGUGCGAUUAUUAUACUUUUUUUAUGAUUUGGUGUAUAUUCACGUGAAUUUAUUGUAUUUCAUAAUUUGAUGUAUAUUUACAAAACUUUUAUCGUACGUUAAAAAAUACAUUAAAAUUAUGUGAAUGUACACUAAAUUAUGAAAAAAAAAAAUAUAACAAUCAUAUGAAGCGCAUUUAAUGCUAACCGUACCUGCACCAAACUCCUAGCGUACCACCCACAACAAUCUUUGCCUGCCCUGCAACACAAGUUGGGACGCUACGUACCUGGAACUGUCAAUCCAAAUGGUUUCUUGAAAAUUAACAAACUUUUACCAUGAAACGAUAAUCCGUGCAAUCUUCGAGCUCCAUAAUUCAUAAUUCUCAAUGAACUGCAUGUAAGACUUUCAGAGCUUCAGAGACACACAUGAAUUAAGGAAACAACUAGAUUUCUUAAUUAGACUAGCUAGGCAGAGUUAAAGAUAAUGCCUAGUCUUCCCGUUUGAUCGUGGUCUUGUCUUUGCAUGAAGAGCAGCAAGAAAGGGGUUAUGUUAAGCUGAGGGAGUUAUAGGGCAACUCUCCUUUGGCAGGUUACGAAGAAGUUGGCACGAAGAUUUACAUGGCACCAGUACUCCAUCAACUGCCAAGAGGAGAUCUGCCCUAAAACUGGCUCGCUUAUAUAUUUUCUUCAGUCAAGGGAUGGACUCACUCUUUCUUACAUGCCUUGAAGGACCAAAACUGAAGUCUAGAUUUAUAUAUAGCCACUCUUUGGGUUUCCCUGUCUUCUGGAAAUCGAAUAAGGGGGGUUGAAGAAAGAUAGCAUAUGGCAUAGGGUUUUAUGCCUUCGGAUAUACCGUUGAUUAUGCCUGCUUUUUACGCAUUCCAUGGCUCCAUGUAGGGCUGCUUUUAUCAGAAAAGGCCCCUUAAAUGGCUUGGGAAAAUGCGGGAGAUUCGAGGCUGCAUGAUCCUGACUUAUGGUAAUGUUUUGCCUUUGUAGCUUUAAGCCUUUCUUUCUGUGUACGUACGUGGAGAAAGAUGUACAGAUAUAAAGCAAUCCAGAAGUGAUGCCACUUUUUGCUUAAGACCCUCGAGACCCUUAAGGUAUAUCCUUUGUCAUAUUCUUCUUCUGGCCUUUUGAGUCGGUUCAGAAUUUGGGUUAAUUUUGGGUUGCGAUUAUAUAUCAUUGAGCUUUGUCUAUAAUUCCAGAUCACCUUGUGCAAUUACGCUCUUUAUCUCAAGGCUUGUUUGUGACAUAGUAGCAAAAGAAUAAUGACAACAGUUGGAAAUCCGAUUUUGGAUAUCAACAUAAAUUUUAAAAAAUUAACAAUAAAUAUAUAGAGUUCAAAUAUAUCUAUCAACCACCUAUAUACAAUAAUAAAUAUGUUACUUACAGGCUAACAACCAAACAUAAACAUAAAUCCUAUAUAUACAAUGUUACAGGAAUGGAACACAUUUGCUUAGUUCUACCAUAUUAAUGGGUCCGUUUGGAUCAAAGAUUAUUUGGAAUAAUAUUGUAACACUUUUUGUAAUGUGAUACAUAUGAAAUGAAAAAAAAAAAGUAAUUAAAAAAUUACGUUUAUGAUGCAAGCAGAACAAAAUUUAGAAAUUAUUUUUUUAGCAAAUCUUGAUAACCAAACAAAUCCAUUUUAUGUUCACCUGGCAUUAGUGAUAAGUUGCUUUUGGGAUAAGUUUCGGAGCUUGGAUGAUUGUAUAUCAAUAUUCAUAGCAGAGACAUGCACUAAAGUAUAGAAUAAGAGGCAGGAUAAGGCAAGAAAUAGUAGUAUUAUAGUCAUUCCCACUAGUUCCUAUGAUGCCAAGCAAUAUAGAUUUAUUUUACUAUAUGUUCACAAAAAUUUAAGAGUUCCAAAUAAGUAAGUAAAAACUAGGAGAUGUAAGCUAAACUGUGUGAUUUAUAGAAUAGAACGGUAGAAAAGACAGGAACACGGCAUACAGACACUUCCCAAAGGUCAUUUUACAUAGAUUUUUAUGUAAAGAAAUGCAGCAUUGUUGUUUUUUCAGAGCAACUUUCACUUCCACAUACAUGUAAAGAAAACCAAAAAAAAAAAAAAAUUUGAUAGCUAAGGAAAAAAAAAAAAAGGAAAUUUCAUCAAUUUGACUUUUCACUUGCAAGUCUCUCGUUUAGCAUCGUUACUCCCAUGUACCUGCAAGGCAACAGCGAGUAAACAUAGAGUCAAAUCAGUAACACUUGAGACUGCUAACAAAAAUUAGAGAACAAAAAAUGGCUAGAAUGUUAUUCUGGAAAAUUAAUCCUUGCAUUUUUACCUUCCCAGCAUCAUAACAGUGGCUUGAGGAUUUGUUCCAGGAGAGUCAUAAAAUGUAGAGCCAUCGAUAACUCGUAAGUUAUCCACCCCUAAAACUUUAUAAUCUUCAUCAACAACUCUAUUAACUUGACAUCCUCCAUGGUAAUGCCAAAUGGUCAUAACAGUAUCUUUACAGAACUGUUCCAAUGAAGUUGAGGCAUUGCUAUGUCUGGGCAACAGGUUCACCGGAGAAUUCGCGGUCAUGUUGAGGAGGACUUGUAAGGUCAAGUCAUCAUACCUAAAUUUGGAGAAAGAUUUUGAUUCAAUUACGCUUUCGAUGACCUUGAUGCCAUCAACACAUCGUUUUAAGUCCUCUGGUUCUUGGAAAUAGUUGAAUGUGACUGAUGGAUUUGCAUUUGGGUUCUUCUUCCGAAGCAUUAAGUAGCCAUUUGAGAGAGGACCCAUGGUUUUUUCCAGGAUGAAUCCACCGCUGAAAGCUACUGCAUCAAGUUUGCUCAUGUCAUCGAUAGCUUUGGCUAAGGCUUCUGGGGUUCUUUGUUUUGGUGGCAGUGUGCUGAGCUGACCAAUCUGCAAAUGCAAAAGCAAACGAGAAAAGAAAAUUUCUUCUUGCAACUUUUGCUCCAAUCAAGUUAUAUUGAAGCAACUUAUAACUCUUGAAUUCCAACAAAAAAAAAAAAAAACUCUCGAAUUAAAUUUAGUUUCAAUUACAGGACAAUUGACGAGUCAACUUAUACGUCUACCACACUAGGAGGAUGAUCAGUGAAAAAAAAAAAAAAAAACUCUCGAAUUAAAUUUAGUUUCAAUUACAGGACAAUUGACGAGUCAACUUAUACGUCUACCACACUAGGAGGAUGAUCAGUGAAAAAAAAACAAGUGUACCUUAGGAGAGAACAUUCCGAAGUCCCUGCUAGCUGAACCACCGGCAAAGUUUGCACCACUGGCAGCCUCAAUAUAGCUUCCAAAGCGGGUGAUACCCACAACUUGGAUGAGGGAAACCUCAACAGGGGAAGGAGAUGGGACGUAGAUGGCAUUCAUGGGGUUAUCAUACAUGCCUAGGCCAACAUAGGGCUGAUGAUAAAUCACAGUUAUGUUGUGGUGUCUCAGGUGAUCUUCUGGUCCUAUUCCGCUCAACAUCAGUAGUUGUGGGCUUCCAAGUGCACCUGCUGAGACAAUCACUUCAUUUCUGGCUCCUGCUUUAAGGUAUGCUUUGUGCUUGAUUCUUGCAGCAUCUCUGAAGAUCACUCCAUGCGCUAAAGGCUUUGAUCUUCCUGAACGAACAUAUAGCUAAAUUGCUCGGUUAAAACUUCAAAAGUCAAGAAAGUGAAAUGUAGUAUUUGGUUGAAAUUAAUUGCUUAAAAGACGACGACAGCUUUUUCUAUCAAGAGACUGUUCUAGAGCUACUCCGCCUCUUGCAUUAAACUUAAUGGUCCAAUUCCACGGUCCGGGCUUUAAGGUCACAACAAUAUGUCAGUCAUUAUAUUAUAACCUCAAUUAUUAUAACAAAAAAAAUAUUAAAAAAAAAAGGAGGCAAAACUAGUUUAAUUAAUUCUCUCUUGAUUUUAAUGACCUGUGCCGGCAAUUGACAGCUUCGUCUUUCAAGGAUUAAUCCUACAGCCACUCAAACAUAUCUAACUUUAUGGUCCAAUUAAUUCCACAUGUGGACUUCCUUAUCAAGAUGGAGCUAAGGUGGUCAAUUCUGACCGGGUAAACAGACACAAGUCCAAUCUUUCCAUUCUACACAACCCCCCCUUUUUGCAACUAUGAAAUAAAAAUAGUAUUUACUAAAAGGGGCACGCAUGCAUCGUUCUUGAUUCCCCCCACCCACCCACCCACCCAAAAACUAAAAUAAAAUAAGCCUACAAAUUAAACACAGACUAUGCCAUGCCAUGAUAUGCCUAGCUAAGGUCACCUUACCUUUGGUUCCGAACAAGAUUUUGUGGACAGUUGCAUGCAAUAGCACGGUGAGCCCUUUAGGAUUUGCAUACUCAAGUAGGUCUGCAGCAGUAUGUCUAGUACCGUUUUGAUCAAAAAUGGUUCCGCCAACCUUAGUCCCGUACAAAUGGUCAUAGGUAAAACCGUUGUAAGGCCUCACACCAGACUCAAUCAAGCCAUCCCUCACAGCUGACUGCCACUGCUUCACGGGUGGUUCGAAUGCAACCUUCUUCUCCACCCAUUCGUAUGACUCGUUCACCAGCUUCCCAUCCCAGCCUAAAUCCCUCACGUAGCUGGUGGAAGCACGCGAGUAGAAGCCCGCAUUUAGGCAGCUUCCACCGCCUAGCACGCGAGCACGGGCGUUGAUUACACCGUCUUCUGAGAUGAAACGCUGAGAAGGGGAGGACGGAGAGAGGUCGGACAGGGCUGCCCCAAAUGUAUUUAGAUUGGUGAUGUUGGGAUUGCCAUAUGGUGAACCGCCGCGUUCGAGUAGGAGGACACUAUAAUUUUGAGAAAGCGUGGCGGCUAAGGGGCAGCCGGCGGUGCCUCCGCCAAUAAUGAUGUAGUCGUAGAAUGAAACAUCCGGGGCUGAAGUUGCUUCAUGCACAAAAGUGUAGUUUGGAGCUGUAGAAGGAAAUGCACACCAUUAGCGGACAAUGGUCCUUCAUGUAAAUCUUGCGACUACUUACAAGUAUAAUUGCUAAAUCAAGAUGUUGAUCGGCAAUUUAAUUAACGUGUUUUAAAUCUGUGUACUACUAAUACACGAGCCAAAAGAAGCAUUAACAUCAAAUCAAGACAGUUACUUUCAUUGAAGGGUUCUUUUCUUCCCUUCCUUUACAUUGAUUUCCCGGCUGAUUAAAACUUUUCACGCAGAACGAAAUAUAAAGGGAAAGUUGAUCCAAGUUGGAACCUAAAAUUUUGUACGCACAACUCAAUGGUCAAAGACAGGCUCGUGAGUUUGUUGGCUCUAAUUUUAUUAGAGUCAAUCAUUUCAGAAGAGGUAAAUUAGAGCCAAUCAUUUCAGAAGAGGUAGUUGGAUGACCAUAAAGUUACGACACUAAUCUACAAAUGUUAAAUAGUGCUAGUAUUUGCCGAGAUAACAGUUGACCGGAAUCCACCAAGAUAAUUAACGCCUACAAGCUGAAUCUUUUACGUGUUCUAAAAGAGCCUUUUACACUUUCUCUUUUGUUGACUAAAGAGGGACUUUAAAUUUCAUACAGUAAUUACCAAGAAAAAAUUUACUGCAAAAAGACAAAAUCAGUAUUUGAUUUUGAAGUUAAAAAAUAAUAAUAAUAGCUGUGGAACAUGAAUCCAGCACACAUUCACACAAGAGCCAAACGCAGUGAUGAAAUGUACUACGCGUACCUUGUGUCUUGCUAAAAACUUGCUGCCAAAAACUGAACAAAAAGUCAAAACAAUACCGCCAUUAAGAAGAUCAUUCUUCCAAUGUAGCCAAAUAAAAUUACUCUCGAUCUCAUUGUAUGGAUCCAUUUAUCAACCGAUUCUUCGUACAGUUCAAAAGUUGCAAAUUUAAUGCAGCUUUCCCUUAUGAAUAUCUCACUUAUCCAUUUAUCAACCGAUUGUCAUUAAUUUCAUAUAUAGAAGGUACCAACGAGAAAGAAGCUAAAAUAGCAGCAUUGAUAGGAAAAUUACUAGACUUAUAAGAAACUUGAGUUCUUGGCUUCAUCAAAAUGCAAAUGUAUGAAGUUUCUGAUCAAACUUUGGGCUUCAUGCACAUGCAUGUAACAGAAGUGCUUUACAAAAUUGCAUGUCUAAACCAAAAUAUCAAAAUUAAGAAAAGAACAGAUAAGGAGGAAGAGUUUGGUACCUUUUUCAGAUAAACAAAAGCCAUGGAAAAAGAGGAUGCCAAGAAUUGUAGCAGCAGAAAGGACUCUCCAGCCCUCUAAACCCAUGAAGAAAAGUGUGGUUGUUCGAUCCACAACUCCGAAAAGCUCAAGUGAAGACUUGAUAAUUCUGUUUCUUUGCUUUUUUAAGGUGAAGACUUGAAUUCAAGUGGAAGAAAAGGUGAAUGUUAUCCUAUAUAAGCAAAUACAAACCCUUUAACAACAGAAAGCCAACGACCUUGACGGCAAUAAAUUUGAGCGUACAAAGACUAUUCCUUCUUUUGGCUGCGUCGGCUACCAAUUAUCAUGCACUGCCUAUUUAACAGUGACUAUCGGAGAGGAGAGGAGAUUUGUUGAUGGAGUAGCCAAACUACCCAAAGCUUCAAUAGAGCUUUCAAGAAAUGUGGGUGGUGUGACCUACACUCAUGGCAAAAAAUUUGAGGCUAGAUUUAAAAGGAAGCAAAUAAUACUAGUAAUUAGCAGUCAGUUUUAAGUCAAAACUGUUCUAGAAAAUCCGAUGCCACAAAAGAAAUGUGGUUUCUGUUUUAUCGUACAUCUGUUUCUUGUUUGUCUGCCUUUCUUCUCUUAAUUUUAAUCGCAGAAUAGAAGAAGAAUGCAAAUGGUGUCCAUUGUUCCUUCUUUUAAAGCUGGGAAUGGUUGGUGGGUGCUAGGGGGGGGGGGUGGCAGGGACGAGAGAAGUUGGAUGGCAGUUGGACUCGACAUUAAUGGUUGCACUUACACAGUAAUACGUGGCCUAAUUUCGUGCAACAUGCAACUCUCAGCCAAUCCUUUAUUCAUUUUUUCUUCCAAAUCAAUUGCAGAAACCAAAGAAAAAUGAAACAAGUAGGGCAAGAGAUGUUGCAUUGCAUGUCGUCCUUUCGAACUCAGUUUGAUUUGAAGUUAACACAGUGAUAUUUCAUCUUCAACUGGGGCUUAUUAACAUUUUGCCCAGAUAUAUCUUCGGGCCUCUACGUUAUUUCGUCUGUGUAGUUUAUUAGUGAGUGACUGAUUGCUGUCUUCAGAACCUACAGAUCUCGCGGAAAAUUGUCUUUCAAACUGUUGGCUCAAAUAUAGCCUCUGAUUCGAUCAAGACCGGAUGCCAAUAUGUUUCUGGCCCAGAAUAAUAUUUGAUCCCAGAAAUAAUUACUAUCUUAUUAUGCUCUAAGCAAAGGCUCCGACCUGGAACAAUUACAGCUCUAGUCCAGUACCACAUCCAAGGCGCAUUAAAAAGUGUAGGAAGAAUCUCUAUUGAAAGAAGCGAUGUUCUUCAAUUUGGGGAACUCUGUUCCCUCUCUAGAGCUUACAUAUUGUCUGUCUAAAAUUCUGGAGUACUCCCUCCGUCUCACACACUUUGAUAGUGCUGCUUUCCUUCUUCGUCUCUCCUAAAUUGGAGUUCAUUUUCUAAUUAAAAAAUGUGAUUGUCUUUUAAUUUCUCUAAAAUACCCUUAUUCAAUAUAAGUUAUUAUUACUAUAAACUACUACCUUAUUUAAUAUAGAUUGUUAGUAUUGAAUAUAACCUAUCCCAUUUAAUAUAUUUUUAGAUUUUUCAAAACAAAUGGAUAUAUGAAAAGCCAACUUUAUUUAAUGUAAGGAUAUUUAGGAAUAUAGCCAUCUAAAUUUAUUUUUUCAAUAAAGUUAACUAUUUUUUCGUAAACUGUGUAAAAAAAAAAACUAGAACGGAGGGAGUAUUAUCGAUACUACUACCUACCUUAGACAAUUGAGCCUUUUCAUUUUUACUACAACUACACGAACAUUAUUAUGAGCGCAUGAGUUUGUAGUUUUAAAAAACCCCAUUUAAAUUCUUUUAAAAAAUAAAUUGAAAGUUGAAACACCAGAAGUUCGUCAAAAAUCUGCCAUGGACCACCAAACACAACAUAGAAACGUAUCUUAAUGAUCAGUGUGGCUUAUGGCCCUCCAAUUCUUCAUGGAUUAAUUCCUCAAGCUUCUUCUCUUUUUUUUUUUUCCUUUUCAAUUAUGCUUUUUCUUUUUAUAUUCGGUGAUUGUAAACUUUCGAACUCGGUUUGUACUUUACCUGUGAUUUUUGUUUCCUCUUUCUUACAGUGACAUGAGAAGGCAAGAAUGGCUAUUUUUGGCGAAGGUGAUGUUCCCUAUGGCUAUGACUGAUACGGAUUGGAGUGUCGCAAUUGUCACGAGGUGGAGUGGACCACGGCUUUGAUUAUGGACGUCCAACUACUUACCUCUGAGCUGCUCAGCAUUAGUAAAUGGAAUGGUUAUGGGGUACCGUACAUCACAGCUUUUUGAUUGUGUUGGAGCUCUAAAGCUUCCAACUAAUCCAUCUAUCUCUUCGAUAUUCACAGCAUUUAUCAAUUUGACGAACUUUUAUAUUUGCAACUUUGAAGUUCACGUACUUCCUUCUUCCGAGUCUGAAGCGUCUGAGACUGCUGGAGUGGAAGAAGGGAGUUUAAUGUUAGGAGUUGCUACGCCAAGAUUCUUCCCAAGAAUCGGAAAAAGAACCCAAAAAAAAAAAAGUCCAGAAUGACAAGUACCGAACAAUAACUCGUGUGACAGUUGAAUAUAAAUGUAGGCUGAGAGUAGCACCUCUUAUAUGCUGCUUUAGGUUUCGGCCUUUUUAAAAAAAAAACAAAAACAAAAACUUUUGCUGUAUAAACAUGAUCAUAAACAGUCAUGAACUGCAACACCUGAUCAAACCCCCUUCAUUUAGAGAAAAACUAUUGGAUUGCAUUUUUUUGCAUUUUUUUUUUUUAGAAAACUUACUGUACACUAGAUAAAAAGAUGAUUGAAAAAUAUAUUUACGAAAAACGUAGAAGUUGCUUUCCAAACAAAGCCUAUAUUUUGCCAUAAUUGCUUUUGCACAUUCUUGUGGAUAGCCGCCAAAUCCCGUGAAAGAACACUCAGGGACGAAGAAAAAAAACAAAUUGCAAACUAGGAAUUUCUUUGUCCUGAAACUGGCUGUGCAAUGCGUCAAUACAAACUUAACAAAGGUUGUGUGUACUAUAACCUAGCCAAGAUGAUGGUUGUGUGGGUGUGUGUGUGUGUGUUAAAAAAAUAGAAAGAACUGAAAAACUAUGUAUACAAAGGAACUACAGCAGCGUUAAUAAGAAACCAACAAAAAAGAUGUAUGCAAAACCAAUCGAUUGACAAAGAGAUAUACGAGACAAAGAACUCGAAUAAGAAUGCAUUAAGAAUCGAAGAUGCUAUCGAACUUCAGUACAUUAAGCUAGUAAAGAGAGUUAUAGGUACAGCAGGUUGCAAUAAUUGAUGCAACGCAUAUCAGUAAUGAAGGAAGAAGGGUGAAAUUCAGGAGCUUAUUCUGCCCUAAAAAACCAGCCAGCGUGAUGGUUCCAUCUGCAAUGACUCGAGCAAUUGUACCAGCUUCGGUUGACAAGAGUCC
This 25839-nucleotide long non-coding RNA is filed under the name Coffea arabica (coffee). RNAcentral describes it as "long non-coding RNA (CARA_LNC006109)". The record is from RNAcentral. Lineage: Eukaryota; Viridiplantae; Streptophyta; Magnoliopsida; Gentianales; Rubiaceae.